RNAcentral lists this ribosomal RNA (442 nucleotides) under uncultured bacterium. RNAcentral describes it as "partial 16S ribosomal RNA". It matches the Rfam family "Bacterial small subunit ribosomal RNA", at positions 338 to 795 of the family's 1533-position model. The record is from RNAcentral.
CCUACGGGUGGCAGCAGUAGGGAAUCUUUCACAAUGGGCGAAAGCCUGAUGGAGCAACGCCGCGUGCAGGAUGAAGGCCUUCGGGUUGUAAACUGCUUUUAUAAGCGAGAAAUAUGAUGGUAACUUAUGAAUAAGGAUCGGCUAACUACGUGCCAGCAGCCGCGGUCAUACGUAGGAUCCGAGCAUUAUCCGGAGUGACUGGGUGUAAAGAGUUGCGUAGGUGGCAUAAUAAGUAGCUAGUGAAAUCUGGUGGCUCAACCAUUCAGACUAUUAGCUAAACUGUUAAGCUCGAGACCGUUAGAGGUAACUGGAAUUUCUAGUGUAGGAGUGAAAUCCGUAGAUAUUAGAAGGAACACCGAUAGCGUAGGCAGGUUGCUGGGACGGUUCUGACACUAAGGCACGAAAGCGUAGGGAGCAAACGGGAUUAGAUACCCGAGUAGUC